AAUCUACCAAUUGCUCAGGAAUGCUCCCAACAAGCUUAUUUGAGGAGAGGUCUAACCAUUCAAGAUUUGACAAAUUUCCCAUUGCCUGUGGUAUAUGUCCUGUUAAAUGGUUAUGAGAAAAAUUUAGCCCUGUUAGAUGUAAAAGCCCUCCAAUACUUUCAGAAAUUUCUCCUCUGAAAUGAUUAUAUGACAAAUCAAUCAUUGCAAAUAUAUCAA
Molecule: unclassified non-coding RNA, 216 nt
Filed under: Hevea brasiliensis (rubber tree)
Lineage: Eukaryota; Viridiplantae; Streptophyta; Magnoliopsida; Malpighiales; Euphorbiaceae
Source: RNAcentral